Molecule: transfer RNA, 71 nt
Filed under: Trisidos kiyonoi
Lineage: Eukaryota; Metazoa; Mollusca; Bivalvia; Arcoida; Arcidae
Description: tRNA-Cys
Source: RNAcentral
AGGGACAAAAGCUUUGUUUGAAGCGUUGGGUUGCAGGCCUAAAGAGGAGUAUACUUUAUCUCUUGUCUUUG